RNAcentral lists this ribosomal RNA (250 nucleotides) under uncultured prokaryote. RNAcentral's name for it is "partial 16S ribosomal RNA". It matches the Rfam family "Bacterial small subunit ribosomal RNA", at positions 524 to 773 of the family's 1533-position model. The record is from RNAcentral.
CACGUAAGGUGCGAGCGUUGUUCGGAAUUAUUGGGCGUAAAGGGCACGCAGGCGGUGCCGCAAGCUUGGGGUGAAAUCCCGGGGCUCAACCCCGGAACUGCCUUGAGAACUGCGGCGCUAGAGUCAGCGAAGCGAUACCGGAAUUCCAGGUGUAGGGGUGAAAUCUGUAGAUAUCUGGAAGAACACCAAUGGCGAAGGCAGGUAUCGGGCGCAUGACUGACGCUCAGGUGCGAAGGUGCGGGGAGCAAAC